Molecule: ribosomal RNA, 465 nt
Filed under: Vreelandella stevensii
Lineage: Bacteria; Pseudomonadati; Pseudomonadota; Gammaproteobacteria; Oceanospirillales; Halomonadaceae
Description: partial 16S ribosomal RNA
Rfam family: Bacterial small subunit ribosomal RNA
Source: RNAcentral
CCUACGGGAGGCUGCAGUGGGGAAUAUUGGACAAUGGGGGCAACCCUGAUCCAGCCAUGCCGCGUGUGUGAAGAAGGCCCUCGGGUUGUAAAGCACUUUCAGUGAGGAAGAACGCCUGGUGGUUAAUACCCAUCAGGAAAGACAUCACUCACAGAAGAAGCACCGGCUAACUCCGUGCCAGCAGCCGCGGUAAUACGGAGGGUGCGAGCGUUAAUCGGAAUUACUGGGCGUAAAGCGCGCGUAGGUGGCUUGAUAAGCCGGUUGUGAAAGCCCCGGGCUCAACCUGGGAACGGCAUCCGGAACUGUCAAGCUAGAGUGCAGGAGAGGAAGGUAGAAUUCCCGGUGUAGCGGUGAAAUGCGUAGAGACCGGGAGGAAUACCAGUGGCGAAGGCGGCCUUCUGGACUGACACUGACACUGAGGUGCGAAAGCGUGGGUAGCAAACAGGAUUAGAUACCCCAGUAGUC